Molecule: long non-coding RNA, 855 nt
Filed under: Sorghum bicolor (sorghum)
Lineage: Eukaryota; Viridiplantae; Streptophyta; Magnoliopsida; Poales; Poaceae
Description: long non-coding RNA (SBIC_LNC016281)
Source: RNAcentral
CUCUGGAGUUUUUGCAGAUUUUCAAAUAAAACUCAGAGAUUCCUUGUAUGACUCUCUCAUAUCUCUCUUUUGUGGUAUUUCUGGAUCCUUACCAAGGCAGUGAUGGUAUAUGCCCUCUCUCAAAGUACGUGGUAUUUGUGGCAUAAGGCAUAGUGAUAUUGCCUUCUCUCUCACCCUACUCUAAUAAGGCUUUAAUAUCUGGAGCUCAUAGGUGGGAGAUAAAAUAUACAUACUUACAAGACAUUUAUUGUAUAGUCAAACCAUGGAUCCAAAGAAACAAGUCAAUAAGUUCAAUCAUGGUGAUAACAAUGGUGAAAGUCUAAUUCUACUUAUGCUCUUUUGAGGGGAUAUAUACCUUUCUUGCUUUUUGAAACAUUGUGAGGAGAAUGAGAUGCUCUAUAUUUUCUUUUUCUUUCCUCUCAGGUGGGUAUCUUGUACCCCUAAUUCUACUGUCGGACACUUGUCCAUUUUUACCUCGUGUCUCACUUUUUCCAUUUUUUCUUUUGAGGUUCCGGGCACUUGCCCCUUUUUAUUUCCUCGUAUCUCUCUUUUUUUAGAGCACUCAUCUCUUGAGAUAAUAUAGCAAGUGGUAGUAAUAAGAUAACUUGAGCAUUUAUUUCAUAGGGGAAAACAUAAAUAUUUUUGGCCAUUCUCUUCCGGAUUAGGAGUAGAAUGUUUUUAGGUGAUUCUGGAGAUGGAAAUGGGUGAAUAUAUGUGGAUGGUACUUCCGGAGUAGAAGUAGCAUGUGUGAGUGAACGUGCAAGUGAAUCUUGAUUUAACCACAUGACAAGCUCCUAAGGGUCUACACAGCUUGACCACACUCAAUGCUCAUAAGCAGUAAAUAGUAAAUAUGUG